Molecule: long non-coding RNA, 2669 nt
Organism: Nomascus leucogenys (northern white-cheeked gibbon)
Lineage: Eukaryota; Metazoa; Chordata; Mammalia; Primates; Hylobatidae
Exons: 5
Source: RefSeq, a predicted model, not a curated record
CUUCUCCAAAGAGGCGGGGUCUCAGCCUGGUUCUUCCUUGUUCCUCGUCCUCUGAGGUAGCAACUGCCUCAUCUUUUCCACUUAUGGAGUGUGGAAUAUGUGCCCUACUUCAUUCAGGAAUGUUGGACAAACCGGCUAUUUAGAGAGUGAAGGAGAGGAACUUCCAAGAGCAACCAGCCCUCAAGAGAAACCCAAGGACUCCUGCCCUUCCGUGGCUUUGUCCAUGUGCUGCUCACACCAGAAAGCACUCGGGGGUGACCUGCACCAAAAAUGCAUUGCAGUAGUCUGGGCACGGUGGCUCACGCCUGUAAUCCCAGCUCUUUGGGAGGCCAAGAGAAGUUAGAAUACUUGAAAUUAGCUAAGCGAGAAUACCAUCAGCAGUGCAUCAAUCUCAGCUGCAUCCAGGUGUGUCAGCUGAAUGGCAGAGGGACUAGAAAUUACAUUUCAUGAAGAAAAUUUACAGAACUGAAGAUAUUUAGGCUGCAAAAGAAAAGACUAAGGCACUGUGCUAAGUUUCACUUAUAGAGACCAGUAAGAUUUGGCCACAUCUUCAAGGAGCUCAGACCUUCAUGGACAUACCAAAUAUAUACAGAACUAACUCUACUGCUUAUCACAAUGAGAGCUGUGCCAUGGAUAUUUGAAAGUUAGAGAGAUUUAUUUUCAACAGAAUAAUAAAGUCAACUUUCACAAACUGGUGACAGAUGAUCUGGGCGUUGCAGGCAGGGUAGGACUGACAGACUGAGAAGAGUAUAUGGUUUAAAAUAGAUCAUUAACUGGUAUAAAUAUCUAAACAAGUUCAUGAGAAUAAGAAGAGUCAAACACAAUAAAAUAAUUCAAAGAUAUAUCAGAUAAACCUGGACCUAAAAGUCAUGACUUUUUUUGCAGUUGACUCUCAACAAUUUACAAUAACUCCCUCAAUUAUUGUUUGUCUCAUUUUAACAUUUUAUAAUAACACCUAUGUUUCCACAUUGGUAUGAAGAUUAAAUGAAAACACAUCAAUGUUAGAUAGUCCCUAAGUUUCUGUCGCAGAUAUGAGUCCACCCUCCCCACCAUCAUGUGAUCACACGCAGGUGCACAUGCACAGACGUAUACACGCAUGCGGUUAUGGGAAGAGUAACUGCAAAUAUCAAUACUGUUAUGGUUGUUACUUCAGACAUUGCACAAGUCUAGAUCUCUGGAUCAACACACGUACAUAUGUACGUGUAACAAAUGUAUGGCUAAUAUUGCAUAGGUUUCAUAGCUAUACCUUGAAAUCAAUGUAUUAAAUGGAUGUGUUCUUCACAUGCUGACUCAUCUACUGAGGCCCGAAAGCAACAACGUAAACUGCCCUGGAUAAAACAUUUGGAGACAAGAGAUCUCUAAGCUAAGCUAUAGCUUCAUCAAGCAUGGAGUUCUCUCAUUUCAUAGCUUUACACAGACACAGGCACACACACACAGGCACACGCGUGCGUGCACACACACACACACAGCUCUCAGCUGGAGACCGUCAGGGAAAACAAGUACCAGUGAGACCCGGGGAUCUUCAUCUGAUUUUGUCUUCUGGGUAAGGCUGUGUUAAAAACACUUUGACAGAGGGCUCUUCUCUUGGGGCUCAUCAAAUAUUGCUGGUAGAGGGUUUGCUUGCUUUAAAUAUUCCUUUCCUCAGGUAACGAAGAAUACCAUGUAAUUUGUAAUGAUAACUUGGAUAAUGAAUGCACACUGUAGUCAGCCAUUACCAGUGGUAAUUGGUGUUCCUUUCAUCUCCUGUCAAGCAGAGUGGUUAGGAUUAGGACCAAAAGGCAGCUAUCAUCUCUCUCAUUUCCUGACUCAGACAAAAGGCAAAAAAAAGGUGCCUGCUUGUGCUGAUAGGUGUCUGAUCAAAGCGGCUGAAAGCUGUCAGAAGCCAGCCAGCCUCAGCACCUGACUACUCCUUAAUGCAGCUUUGCCUUUGAUGUACAGGCAGUCCAACUGGGGUUCUAUUUAUGUAAAAAAAAAAUAAUCAGGAUUGUAAUAGAACAGAAGAAAGUGCCAUUUUCUAUUUUGAUGCUAGUUUUGCAGUCUGACACCUAUAGGAAACGUGGACUAAUUCUGUCCAGAGUAUGGUGUGUGUGUGUGUGUGUGUGUGUGUGUGUGUGUGUAACUCACUUAAUAAAAUAUCUUUGAAACUUCAUCAAAUACAUUUGGCAGUGAGCAGAAGUUAGAUUGCUGGUAGAAAGAAAUUAUCCUUCUUGGAAAGUAAAAAAAAUGCUUAAGUAAAAUUGCAGCAGUUUUGACAUGUGCAUUUUAUGUUUCAGAAAUUCUACAGGUUAUAGGUUUAUGAAUGGAGAACCAGUCGUGGAUUUAAAUGAAUUGGAAUUAUUGUAUCUCAGACUUCUAGCUUUCUACCCAUGUGAAUUUAGAUGCAUACUAAUCACAUAUGUGUUUUAAGUUUAUCACUGGCUAUAUAUAUGGUUACUUUCGUAUAUGCCUGUGCAUUGAAUGAAAAUACCUGGCAUGUGGUUGUUAUAAGCAACAGACAGUUCUUGGCCAGAGAUCCACACAGACAAGUGUUAAUAUCACUUAAGCCCUCUGUGUCUCAAGUGCAAAAUUUCUGAAAUGAGUGACUAUAAUGUUUGUUUGAAUUAAAGUAUACAAAGCAUGUGUCUCAGUGUCUAAGACAUUGUAAGACACCAAUAAAUGUCCACUAUUUC